RNAcentral lists this transfer RNA (85 nucleotides) under Felis catus (domestic cat). It matches the Rfam family "tRNA". Rfam says of the family: Transfer RNA (tRNA) molecules are approximately 80 nucleotides in length. Their secondary structure includes four short double-helical elements and three loops (D, anti-codon, and T loops). The record is from Rfam by way of RNAcentral. Lineage: Eukaryota; Metazoa; Chordata; Mammalia; Carnivora; Felidae. RNAcentral also lists the same sequence under 4 other names.
GCCUGGGUGGCUCAGUCGGUUGAGCGUCCGACUUCGGCUCAGGUCAUGAUCUCACAGUCUGUGGGUUCAAGCCCCGCGUCAGGCU